UGCAGGGACUUUGGCAGGGGCUGGCGUUAAUCUGGUCAGAACAGAAAUGUAGCAGCCAUAGCGAUCAUUCCCUGGGUUUGGUUUUUUUUUGCUUG
RNAcentral lists this signal recognition particle RNA (95 nucleotides) under Holosporales bacterium. Its description in RNAcentral is "signal recognition particle sRNA small type". It matches the Rfam family "Bacterial small signal recognition particle RNA". Rfam says of the family: The signal recognition particle (SRP) is a universally conserved ribonucleoprotein involved in the co-translational targeting of proteins to membranes. Lineage: Bacteria; Pseudomonadati; Pseudomonadota; Alphaproteobacteria; Holosporales. The record is from RNAcentral.